CCUACGGGGUGCAGCAGUGAGGAAUAUUGGUCAAUGGACGAGAGUCUGAACCAGCCAAGUAGCGUGAAGGAUGACUGCCCUAUGGGUUGUAAACUUCUUUUAUAUGGGAAUAAAACGUUCCACGUGUGGGAUUUUGUAUGUACCAUAUGAAUAAGGAUCGGCUAACUCCGUGCCAGCAGCCGCGGUAAUACGGAGGAUCCGAGCGUUAUCCGGAUUUAUUGGGUUUAAAGGGAGCGUAGGUGGAUUGUUAAGUCAGUUGUGAAAGUUUGCGGCUCAACCGUAAAAUUGCAGUUGAAACUGGCAGUCUUGAGUACAGUAGAGGUAGGCGGAAUUCGUGGUGUAGCGGUGAAAUGCUUAGAUAUCACGAAGAACUCCGAUUGCGAAGGCAGUUCACUGGACUGCAACUGACACUGAGGCUCGAAAGUGUGGGUAUCAAACAGGAUUAGAUACCCUAGUAGUC
This 460-nucleotide ribosomal RNA is filed under the name uncultured bacterium. RNAcentral's name for it is "partial 16S ribosomal RNA". It matches the Rfam family "Bacterial small subunit ribosomal RNA", at positions 338 to 795 of the family's 1533-position model. The record is from RNAcentral.